CCAAUAGCGUAUAUUAAAGUUGUUGCAGUUAAAAAGCUCGUAGUUGAACCUUAGGCCCGUGCGGGCGGUCCGUCCUCGUGGCGAGCACUGUCCGUUGCGGGUCUCACCUUCUGGCGAGCGUAGAUGCCAUUUAUUUGGUGUCUGCGGGAACCAGGACCUUUACCUUGAAAAAAUUCGAGUGCUCAAAGCGGGCUCCGACGCUUGAAUACAUUAGCAUGGAAUAAUGAAAUAGGACGAUGGUUCUAUUUUGUUGGUUUCCGGGACCGUCGUAAUGAUUAAUAGGGAUAGUUGGGGGCAUUCGUAUUCAAUUGUCAGAGGUGAAAUUCUUGGAUUUAUUGAAGACGAACUACUGCGAAAGCAUUUGCCAAGGAUGUUUUCAUUAAUCAAGAACGAAAGUUGGGGGAUCGAAGACGAUCAGAUACCGUCGUAGUCUCAACCAUAAACUAUGCCGACUGGGAAUCGGGCGAUGUUACUUUUACGACUCGCUCGGCGCCCCGAG
This 499-nucleotide ribosomal RNA is filed under the name uncultured Glomeromycotina. RNAcentral describes it as "partial small subunit ribosomal RNA". It matches the Rfam family "Eukaryotic small subunit ribosomal RNA", at positions 591 to 1092 of the family's 1831-position model. Lineage: Eukaryota; Fungi; Glomeromycota. The record is from RNAcentral.